This 206-nucleotide ribosomal RNA is filed under the name uncultured bacterium. RNAcentral's name for it is "partial 16S ribosomal RNA". It matches the Rfam family "Bacterial small subunit ribosomal RNA", at positions 568 to 774 of the family's 1533-position model. The record is from RNAcentral.
AGCGUAGACGGCAAGGCAAGUCUGAUGUGAAAACCCAGGGCUUAACCCUGGGACUGCAUUGGAAACUGUCUGGCUCGAGUGCCGGAGAGGUAAGCGGAAUUCCUAGUGUAGCGGUGAAAUGCGUAGAUAUUAGGAAGAACACCAGUGGCGAAGGCGGCCUACUGGACGGUAACUGACGUUGAGGCUCGAAAGCGUGGGAGCAAACA